Molecule: ribosomal RNA, 587 nt
Filed under: Escherichia coli
Lineage: Bacteria; Pseudomonadati; Pseudomonadota; Gammaproteobacteria; Enterobacterales; Enterobacteriaceae
Description: bacterial LSU rRNA
Rfam family: Bacterial large subunit ribosomal RNA
Source: RNAcentral
AUGGAGCCGACCUUGAAAUACCACCCUUUAAUGUUUGAUGUUCUAACGUUGACCCGUAAUCCGGGUUGCGGACAGUGUCUGGUGGGUAGUUUGACUGGGGCGGUCUCCUCCUAAAGAGUAACGGAGGAGCACGAAGGUUGGCUAAUCCUGGUCGGACAUCAGGAGGUUAGUGCAAUGGCAUAAGCCAGCUUGACUGCGAGCGUGACGGCGCGAGCAGGUGCGAAAGCAGGUCAUAGUGAUCCGGUGGUUCUGAAUGGAAGGGCCAUCGCUCAACGGAUAAAAGGUACUCCGGGGAUAACAGGCUGAUACCGCCCAAGAGUUCAUAUCGACGGCGGUGUUUGGCACCUCGAUGUCGGCUCAUCACAUCCUGGGGCUGAAGUAGGUCCCAAGGGUAUGGCUGUUCGCCAUUUAAAGUGGUACGCGAGCUGGGUUUAGAACGUCGUGAGACAGUUCGGUCCCUAUCUGCCGUGGGCGCUGGAGAACUGAGGGGGGCUGCUCCUAGUACGAGAGGACCGGAGUGGACGCAUCACUGGUGUUCGGGUUGUCAUGCCAAUGGCACUGCCCGGUAGCUAAAUGCGGAAGAGAUA